This is a long non-coding RNA of Physella acuta, 403 nucleotides long. RefSeq lists it as uncharacterized. The record is from RefSeq and is a predicted model, not a curated record. NCBI's taxonomy places the organism in Eukaryota, Metazoa, Mollusca, Gastropoda, Physidae.
GUUGAGGUAUGGGACUGAAUGCGACAACAUCUGUUCUAUAACAUGCCUGGGCCAAAACUGCCGCAUCACCGGAGAGUGCAAAGUUUGUGAGAUCAACCGAUACGGGGACUACUGUCUGGACGAGUAUGACAAGAAAGUCAAAAAUGAAACAAACAGCAAAGCUAGCCCAAUCCUGCUAUCUUCAAAUUACGAAUCGACCCCCCCAGAAACUAUGAGUAAAACAUUCUUCGUUGCCGUUUUCACAAUCCCAUGCUUUUUCAUAAUACUCUGUGUGGUGGCAAAAAUCAGCGCUCGUAAGAAAGCACCCAUAAACAGCUCGAACGAGCCAGUGAAAGAGAAACCAGAUGAAAAAUAGGAAAUUUCUUUUUACCUUCUUGCCAGCGUUGAAAUUUCUCGUGUCAAU